AUUAAAGUGGCAGAAUAGUGCCUUAGAUUUAAGCUCUAAAUAUAGAUUGAUAUCUCUUUAAUA
RNAcentral lists this transfer RNA (63 nucleotides) under Prosadenoporus spectaculum. RNAcentral's name for it is "tRNA-Leu". The record is from RNAcentral. Lineage: Eukaryota; Metazoa; Nemertea; Enopla; Monostilifera; Prosorhochmidae.